UUUCUGGAUAAUAGGUUUCCAGAUAACGGAUCCCAUAGCUGUAAUAGAGGCAAUAUUCAAGUUCCAUGAAAGAUCAUCUGACAAAUUCACCCCUAAGAACUUCCCAUUUCCCACUAUAUGGACAGUCGUACCUUCGAUGCAUAAUGAGGGGUCCAAGUAUAAAGCUUCAGAUGUCAUUGUCAAUUGUGACUCUUCUGGUCAGCGCAGCAUUGUCCUUUGCCAACAGCUGCCGGCAGUACCGAUUCUCUACCAAUGGGGAACACCUGUUGACCAACAUCUCUCCAUCAAAAUAGGGACCACAACAGAAUACUGCCAUUUCCAGAUGAAGUUCCCUCAACAUAAAGAAACUUGCACUAAUUCCUCCCACGUGACUCUGAUCAACGACACUUCUUUGCUCCUGGAAACAACGGACGUGGAAUAUAAGACCUUUUAUCUGGAAUACGGGGCUGGGAAGGUGGGGAAGUCGGUGGAGGCCAUAUUUGCAGGUUUUUGCCAAAAUAAAUCUGAGAAUCCCAUCCCAACCACUUCCAAUUACAGUUCCAUGUGGCUGGUGAUAGGAGCGAUUGUUCUCGUCUCAAUAGUUAUUUUCAUAGUCGCGUACAUAAUCUAUAGAAGGUGGAAAGCUCCACAGUUCAUCUGUCUACACAACAGAAUUUCAAGAUAAUGCAAUCCAGGAGACACACAAUGGCAUGAACCCACAGGGGAAUCAAGCUUCUCUUGGCCAAUGCCGGCAGUACUUGUUCUGUAGCCAAGGGGAAGAACUCUGGGACGACUAUAUGGUCAUCACAAACGGAAUGGAGAGAAAAUACUGCUACUUCAGAAUGACAAAGCCUAAGGGUACCACAAACUGCACCCGAAACUCCACUGUGACUCUGACUAAUGACACUUGUCUGCUCUUGGAAACAACGGAUAUAAAGCAUGGCACUUUGACUUUGGAAUAUGGCAAAGGACACAAGGGGCAGUUUGCACACUCCUCGCUCAUAGGGUUGUGCGAUGUUGGGAGAUAUGAACCUGAUGCCAGUGGGUUGGUUCGCCCAUCACCAAUUGGAGUUGUUGGAGGCAUCUUGAUGGUAGUGUUAUACCUUAUACUUUGGAUAUAAGAAAUACAUUAAAAGGAACCAAUCACGAGGCUCCUCUAAGCGUGUGGAACGCUCUGAGAAUGAGAGAAAUGGACACGUACCCACUGAGGACAUUGAAAUGGGAGGCUAAGGAGAAGAAGAUGGAGAAGACAUGGCCCAGACAGUAGAAUUAUUAAAUUCUGAUGCUAAUUGCACUGGUUUCUGUGCUGCCAUGUAGUAAUUAUCUGUAUUAAUUACUAA
RNA transcript from Xenopus laevis (African clawed frog), 1319 nucleotides. RefSeq lists it as uncharacterized. The transcript has 10 exons. The record is from RefSeq and is a predicted model, not a curated record. NCBI's taxonomy places the organism in Eukaryota, Metazoa, Chordata, Amphibia, Anura, Pipidae.